UGGAUUCAUUUGUUCAGACUUUGGGAAAGAGCUUGCUUUUGUGAAUACAUCUGAAGGAUUUUCUUUGUUUAUCAUCUUCCCCUUUCCCUCCAAGCUGGUGAGUUGCUUUCACUACUGAUGUACGGUGCCUCUUGUUAACCACGUUUGGCUGUUUGUUGAGUUAAAUUGUAAAUUUGGGUGGAAAAAGAUUCUUUUGAUUACGAUUGUCCUCAAUCCUCAUGCUGGUGUAGACCAAUACUGGUCUCUAGGAUGAAGAAGAGUUCUAGUAGAUUGGAUCUUGAUGGCUGUUCUCUAAAUAAUGGUGUUAUUUUAGAUUGCUUAGCAUAACUUGGAGGAUAGUUUCCUAGCUGAUUGGGGGACCCGAGACAACUUAAACCAUGUUUUUUGAGAUGUCUGCAUAGAAAGCAUUAGGUGGUCAAGAGUCACUUGGCAUAAUUGGUUAAAAUUAUGUAAGAUUACAGCGAAAUAUAAGAUAUAGGGUGGAAUAUUCUUGUAAUAGGCCUAAUUUGCCCGGCCCAAAUCCGAAAUAAAUAAACAAAAAAAUAUCAAAAAAAUAUAAACCAAAUCAACAUUUAAAAGUCCAAAGUCUAAAUACAUGGGCCCAGCAUAGCCCAAAUCGUUUUAAUCUAAUACCCAAUACAAUACCCAAACCUGAGAAACCCAACACCAGACUCAAACCCUAGCCCAAACCUAACCUAAGCCUAAUUAGCUCAAUCUCCAAACCCGGUUACAAACGCAAAUACUCCGGCCCAAUUGCAUUGAAGCCCAAAACGAAAACAGAAACCCUAGGGUUCUGAUAGCCUCCAGCGCCGCAGCCAACGCGCCUCCGUACGGCCACCUUCGUCCACGCCACGUGCGUCUCCAGCUGGCGUAUCUGCGCAGCAAACAGACAAACAACACCAACAAGAGCAACAGAAAAUAUAAAAUAUAAAAAAAUAGCAGAGAAAAGGGAUGGAUUUUUAUUCUUUUAUUUUGAUUUUGAUUUUUUCUCUUCUAUUGGAUUCGGAUAUAAGGCCGAUUAAAAAAACACUGUAAAGGAUUCUCUUUGAUACACAGAUUGAAUACAAAAGAAAAGAAAAUAUUGAGAGAAAAGAAAAAACAGAGUUUUUGAAAAGGUGAUUGACUAUUUAUUUUUUAUUUUUUUUCUGCGUUUUUCUACUGCACUUUUCUUUUGAUUUUUCUUCUUUCUUUGAUACGAAAAACAAAAAUAAAAGGAAGAAGGAGACUAGAUUUGGUACCUAGGUCGGUGCGUCGCCGAAGCCCUCCUCCGUUCAGAUCGGAGUGAAUUUGGGGGGGGGGGGUUCGAUUGUGAAGCGGCGCAAGAAAAAAAGGGUGGCUUUGGGGGCUGGUGUUUAAGCUGGCCUAGGGUUCUAAUUUGAGGGUUAAGAGGGAAUUUUAUUUAGUGCAUAAAACGACACCGUUUAGGGCCAGUUCCAGUGGCCCUAAAACGGCGCCGUAUUAGCCAUUAAGCUUCAAUAACCCGCGCGGUGACCCGACCCGGGGAAGGAUCCGCCCGUUUCUGUAAUUCGGGUUAUUUGCGCAGACGACCCUUCCUCCUUUCAGGCGCAUUGCAAUAUAGUCCUUUUUUACUGUUUUAUUCCCUUUUAAAUUUAGGCGUGCAUUUGCUUUUUUUUUUAUUCAAUUUAGUCCAUACUAAAGCGUUAUGGAAGGGAGGGAAUAUUUUCUCAUUUGGCCCUCCAUGUAAUUCGCACGUUGUACUUUAGUCCUUUAUUCUAUUUUAUUUUGAUUUUUUUUAUACAUAUUAUUAUAUGUUAU
RNAcentral lists this long non-coding RNA (1776 nucleotides) under Gossypium barbadense (sea-island cotton). RNAcentral describes it as "long non-coding RNA (GBAR_LNC021654)". The record is from RNAcentral. Lineage: Eukaryota; Viridiplantae; Streptophyta; Magnoliopsida; Malvales; Malvaceae.